CUCAACUAGAAAAAAGGUUUCAGCCACUCAUGGCUGAAACAAAAACUAAAAAUAAAGAAAGGAAGAAAAAGAGAAGAUGUCACUUGCAAUCCCGUAGGUGUCUCCCAGGGGGAGUGUAAAGACCAUGUAGAGGCUUCUUAUGUGGCUUUUUAUAGUUGAAAAGUGUUGCCCUAGGUCAUACUUACUGCCCAAGAGGUAUUUUCUGCCCAAGAUGUGUCUUGCUUCCUAAUUAGUGUAGAGGCUGCCCAAGGUGCUGCCCAUGUGCAACUUGCUGCCCAAGUUGUUGCAAACGAGGAAAGAAUCGGACUGCAAGGCUUCAGAAAGAAGUUGGCGCGCAGAUUGCCUUCAGAAUAGGAAAGGAGCGUACCUUGUGCUUGAAAAGGAAGGAAGAGCGAUCCAAGGCUGCCAAUAGAGGAAGAAAAGUCGUGGCUUGAUGUUCAUAAGGAAAUAUGCACGUACCAAGGCUUUCAGAAGAGGAAGGACGCGCGGAUCAUGCUUCCAGAAGAGGUGGCACGCGCAUGGAUUGCAAAAGAGGCAGGAGAAUGCAGUCAUUAAUGUGCAGAAGUGGAAAUAUAUCUGUCCAGUCUUUCCUUUUUAGGUGGAGCCUUCGUUUGAAUUUUGAAUGCUGAAUGCAGAAGAGGAAGAGCAUCUCCUUGAGAUCUUGCUGCCUAAACAGGAAGAUAUGACUGCUGCAGUGUAUGCACAUCUUUGAACAAGGAAAGAAAGAUCUGCGAUUUUAAUCUUCUGACGAGCUUUCCUUGUUUACUUUUGCUUCUGCACUUUCCUCAUUUGAAGACUUUCCUUUUCUGAAAACUUGCCUUAUUUGAAAACCUUCCUUUCCUGGCCCAUGUUCUAAUUAAGGCAGGAAAGAUUCUGCAGUUCGAAUUUCGGACAGUUUGUUGACUGUGCUUUCUGACUCUUUCCUUAUUUGGC
This 933-nucleotide long non-coding RNA is filed under the name Manihot esculenta (cassava). RNAcentral describes it as "long non-coding RNA (MESC_LNC002293)". Lineage: Eukaryota; Viridiplantae; Streptophyta; Magnoliopsida; Malpighiales; Euphorbiaceae. The record is from RNAcentral.